UUCAGGUUACAUGAUUCCGUCCUACGUGGGGAAUUCUUAAUUGGAUGUACCUAAUGCUUUGCAAUUCAGGAAGUGACAAUCCUUCAGCCCCCCAGAAUCACGAUGGUUCUAAGAAAUGGAGCAAAGGAAAACAGAAGGAGAAGGUGAACAACAUGGUGCUGUUUGACCAGGCAACUUAUGACAAGCUUCUGUCCAAGGCGCCCAUGUAUAAGCUCAUCACCACGUCCAUCCUCUCCGAUCGCCUAAGGGUUAAUGGAUCACUUGCUCGGAAAGCAAUAAGAGAACUCAUGGCCGGAUUAUAUAAUAAGUUUGAGGCUUUUUUUUUUUAAUACUUUUCCUGUAUUAUUGUC
Molecule: long non-coding RNA, 350 nt
Organism: Eucalyptus grandis
Lineage: Eukaryota; Viridiplantae; Streptophyta; Magnoliopsida; Myrtales; Myrtaceae
Exons: 3
Source: RefSeq, a predicted model, not a curated record